RNAcentral lists this ribosomal RNA (444 nucleotides) under uncultured bacterium. Its description in RNAcentral is "bacterial SSU rRNA". It matches the Rfam family "Bacterial small subunit ribosomal RNA", at positions 355 to 822 of the family's 1533-position model. The record is from RNAcentral.
UCGGGAAUUUUGGGCAAUGGGGGAAACCCUGACCCAGCAACGCCGCGUGAAGGAUGAAGUAUUUCGGUAUGUAAACUUCGAAAGAAUAGGAAGAAUAAAUGACGGUACUAUUUAUAAGGUCCGGCUAACUACGUGCCAGCAGCCGCGGUAAUACGUAGGGACCAAGCGUUGUUCGGAUUUACUGGGCGUAAAGGGCGCGUAGGCGGCAUGACAAGUCACUUGUGAAAUCUCUGGGCUUAACCCAGAACGGCCAAGUGAUACUGUCGCGCUAGAGUGCAGAAGGGGCAAUCGGAAUUCUUGGUGUAGCGGUGAAAUGCGUAGAUAUCAAGAGGAACACCUGAGGUGAAGACGGGUUGCUGGGCUGACACUGACGCUGAGGCGCGAAAGCCAGGGGAGCAAACGGGAUUAGAUACCCUAGUAGUCCCUGAGCGGGCUGGCAAGGCG